UCAUAUGCUUCGAGAAAGAAAAAACCUACAAGGUAUGUUAGAAAUGUUUUACCCAACAACACCAUUGUCUAACAUCACAAAUGGUAAGAUUCAUAUUUAAGCAUUAUGUUUAUAUUUGAAGUGUUUAAAUGUUUUUAAUGUUCAAUUUGUAUAACUCUUUUUAAUUUAUAUUUCAUUUUGAGCUUUUGAUACACAUACAAUUGUUAUUUAGUGAACACAUCCUCUUCAUGUAGUGCUCUAAAAACACCAUCACAUUCAACAAUACAAACAAUAUCCCACAAAGAUUCAUUUUUUAUAUGUUAUGCCUCUUUCUUAUUACAUAUUUGUUUUUAUAUUUGCUUAUCUAUUGUAAUAUUAAUAUUUUUUAAUGUAUCUCCCCCGUUUAUGAUAUGGAUUUUCAUUUCAGAAAAUAAUUUUUUCAUACCCCCUAAUUGUCAAGUUACUCGAAACCUUACCGAAUUACCUUCGGCUACCCCGUCUCAUAACAUUAAUAUACACCUAAAUAUUCAAUCCACAUUUAUUUCCUCAAGGACGCCACUUUCACAGCUAACCAGUCAAGGUAAAGUAUUCUUAAUUUCUUUUAUAUUAUAUUUAUAUUUUUACAUCCACUUCUUGAAUCAUAUAACAUCAAUUUUAACUUCCCAAUAUAUAAACUUUUAUCAUUUAAUUUUUAAUACAUAUAUGUCUAUAAUAUUUAAUUUGUAUAACUAAUUUUUUCCUUUAAUAUCUUAUUUAAUUUAAUAUUUCAUAAAUACUAUUCAACUUUAGUUCAUUCAUCCUCGUCAUCAAAUGCUCUAAAAACACCAUGUCAUCCAACGAUACAAAGAAAUUCCCACAAAGGUAUAUUUUCUUAUAUUAUAUGCCUAUUUUGUAUUGCAUUUUUUGUUUUUUUUUUCUAUUUGCUUAUGUGUGUUAAAUUCGUAUAUUUUAUUUAUAUAUUUCGCUUCUUUGUCAUACAAAUUUUCAUUUUCAGAAAAUAAUUUCUUCGUACCCCCUAAUUGUCGAGUUGCUCGAAAGUUUACCAAAUUACCUUUAGAAAUCACCGGUCAAGGUAAAUUAUAAUUAAUUUCUUUAAUAUUAUAUUUACAUCCACAUCUUAAAUCAUAUAACCACAAUUUUAAUUUUCCAAUAUAGUAACCGUUAAAGUAAGAAAAUAACAAUUGUAAUCUACCAUAUACUUCCUAUACUUCAAAUGAACAUACAAAUCAAAAUUCAACAACUUUCAAUGUUAUUAACAUGCAUCAUAAACCUGAUCAUACUUUUUCCUACUAUUUGAUUACUAAUUAGUACAUAUAUAUAUAUCUUUAUUCUAUCAAAAUUUUAUUUACAUCAUCUCUAAUAUUAUAUCGUAUCUCAUCUUUCAAAAAUCCUUCACGAACAUUACCAAUACAAGCAUCCUGAUUAUCCAGUGCUCUAGACUUUUCCAACAACCAAGAUACAAUUCAGCACAACAACACAACUCAUUCAAUAAGAGGGAAACGGAAACAAUUUAAUACAAAAUAUAUUCCUUUUUUUGAGUUGAAUGAAGAUUUUGUUGAACCUUCAGGUACCCAUAUUGUUCAACUUGAUCGUUCAUUUAUUAAUAAUGAUCAGCUUCAUCAUUCAAGUGUGUUAUUAUAUAUUUUAUUUAUACAUACAAUUACACAUUUUUCAGUUGGUACCAGUGCUAACUCUAAAGAAAAGAAAAAAAGACGCGGACCAAUUUCUACAAAAAAAAAAAAAAAAAAAGAAGAAGAAGACACAAAUAUGUAUGCCUUCUACUUCAAAUGCUCAAAAUGAUGUCACCGGUAACAAUCAAAGUAAAUUUAUCGAAAUAAGCAAAUGUAUUAUAUCCAUACCAUAAAUUCUUUGUCAUUACAAAUAAAAUGCCGUUACUCUAUUACAUUUCAAGCAUACCACAAAUAUAAUUUGGUAAACUUUUUUAUUUAUUUACAGAUUAUUUGGAUUCUGAAGAUGUUGUAUAUGUUUGCUCAGUAUGUAAAGCUAAAGUGUGGCAAGGAGAAGCAAUUCGAGGAAAUAAAGAUUUAAAGAAAACAUAUCAUUCCAUUUGUUGUGACAAUGGAAAAGUUGAACUAGCCAGUUUGAUUCACCCACCUCAGUUGUUGCUUGAUUUAUAUAGCGGUGUUUCUGAAAAAGGCAGCUUACUUCCCGAAGAGGGUGAAUUACCAAGAUUUUGCUACUUGUACAUAUAUGAUACCGAUCAUGAGGUUCAAAAUAGAUUUAAAGCAUGCGAGUCUAAUAAGAAGAAAAAGACCACAUCUAACGAGUCCAUGGCAAAUCCGUUUUCUCUUUGAGUUUUGGACUAUUCACGAGUUGAUGGGCUUAUUGGAUUUCAUCGAUCCAUUGGCUAAGCAAUUUAUAAUGGCAUGUGAUCAGUUCGGUUCAAAUCCAAUGUGACAACCCGAAAAUUUUUUCGUUAUCCUUAUCCAGUUUCCGUUAAUACAAUUUG
Molecule: non-coding RNA, 2449 nt
Organism: Lactuca sativa (garden lettuce)
Lineage: Eukaryota; Viridiplantae; Streptophyta; Magnoliopsida; Asterales; Asteraceae
Source: RefSeq, a predicted model, not a curated record